GACGAACGCUGGCGGCGUGCUUAACACAUGCGAGUCGAACGGAAAGGCCCUGCUUUUGUGGGGUGCUCGAGUGGCGAACGGGUGAGUAACACGUGAGUAACCUGCCCUUGACUUUGGGAUAACUUCAGGAAACUGGGGCUAAUACCGGAUAGGAGCUCCUGCUGCAUGGUGGGGGUUGGAAAGUUUCGGCGGUUGGGGAUGGACUCGCGGCUUAUCAGCUUGUUGGUGGGGUAGUGGCUUACCAAGGCUUUGACGGGUAGCCGGCCUGAGAGGGUGACCGGCCACAUUGGGACUGAGAUACGGCCCAGACUCCUACGGGAGGCAGCAGUGGGGAAUAUUGCACAAUGGGCGGAAGCCUGAUGCAGCAACGCCGCGUGCGGGAUGACGGCCUUCGGGUUGUAAACCGCUUUCGCCUGUGACGAAGCGUCAGUGACGGUAAUGGGUAAAGAAGCACCGGCUAACUACGUG
Molecule: ribosomal RNA, 468 nt
Filed under: uncultured bacterium
Lineage: Bacteria
Description: partial 16S ribosomal RNA
Rfam family: Bacterial small subunit ribosomal RNA
Source: RNAcentral